CCAGACUCCUACGGGAGGCAGCAGUGGGGAAUAUUGCACAAUGGGGGAAACCCUGAUGCAGCGACGCCGCGUGAGCGGUGAAGUAUUUCGGUAUGUAAAGCUCUAUCAGCAGGGAAGAAAAUGACGGUACCUGACUAAGAAGCCCCGGCUAACUACGUGCCAGCAGCCGCGGUAAUACGUAGGGGGCAAGCGUUAUCCGGAUUUACUGGGUGUAAAGGGAGCGUAGACGGUCCUGCAAGCCAGAUGUGAAAGCGCGGGGCUUAACCGCGGGACUGCUCUGGAAGCUGUGCAGCUAGAGUGCAGGAGAGGCAGGCAGAAUUCCUAGUGUAGCGGUGAAAUGCGUAGAUAUUAGGAGGAACACCGGUGGCGAAGGCGGCCUGCUGGACUGUAACUGACGUUGAGGCUCGAAAGCGUGGGGAGCAAACAGGAUUAGAUACCCGCGUA
RNAcentral lists this ribosomal RNA (444 nucleotides) under uncultured bacterium. Its description in RNAcentral is "bacterial SSU rRNA". It matches the Rfam family "Bacterial small subunit ribosomal RNA", at positions 331 to 792 of the family's 1533-position model. The record is from RNAcentral.